This 2527-nucleotide long non-coding RNA is filed under the name Sus scrofa (pig). RNAcentral's name for it is "lncRNA (ENSSSCG00030070070.1)". Lineage: Eukaryota; Metazoa; Chordata; Mammalia; Artiodactyla; Suidae. The record is from RNAcentral.
AGAAUCUUAAAUGCAACUGAAACAAAAAAUCACCUUCUCCUAAAACUGACUAAUCUAACACCUGAAUUUCUAUCAGUAAUCAAAACAAACAAGCAAAAGAAAACAAAACAAAAAUCUGCUAGUCAGAUAAAGACUUACAUAGUAUAUACUCUCAAAACGAGGAUAACUCCUAAAUUAAUUAGGUUUCUACUUAUUACAAGUGAGGGAAGUCAAUUUUUCAGUAGAAAAUUUAUUUACUUAUAAAACUAGAGAGCACAUGUGUGGAGGUUAAUUCAGAAAUAAACACAGAUUUCAAUAAUUAAUUUGGAUAUUUAUUUACCGCCAUUUCUCCAUUUCUCAAUUGUUUGUAUUUGUUGGUUACAACUUUUUGUACUGCUGACAUGAAGGAGAUGAACUAUGCUGAAAUGUGUACUGAUUUGACAUCUGGUAUUAAAAUUUUAAAAGUAGAGAAAACAUUUUCAUGUCGAUUUUACCACAUAAAGUAUGGAAUUUUUAAAUGCAUCCUACCAGGAACUUAUAAAAAUCAAUGUUUUACUAAUUGCAUCUAUACUUGUCUUAUGCCUCUUAAAAAUUAAAUAUUUUUAUUACUGCCUCAGACAAAAGUCAUGUACAAACUCUGGUAAAUCUGUUUGUAACAUCUCCUUUCUCUUAAAAUUUAAUAGAGUUAUGGUAUUUUCCAAUGUAUGUCUAAUAACAAUUUAUAAAACUUUGGUAUAGUUGUACAAUAUUAUUACUACCAUUGAUAUUUUUAAAGCUAAUCUUUAUUUUGUACUUACUAUGCGCCAGCUACUGUACCAAGCACUUUACAGCCACUGUCAGCUCUUUUAUUCCUUAUAACACUUUUAGGUAGACAUUAUUAUGCCCAUUUUACCUAUGGGGGAAAACAGGACUUACAGAGUUUAAAUAAUUUGCCUAAGUAUACACAUCUGGGAAAAGGCACAACUAGCAUUUAAAGCUAUAUAGUAUAUUUCUAGAGCUAUAAUUUUGCUCCAAUGCACACACUUACUUUUCCUUGCACAAAAUCUCCUUAUUAAAAUAAGAACAGCAACAAAUAACAAUAAAAUUUAGUAAAUAAUCUAAACAAUAUUUUUUAUUUUUAUUUUUUUAGGGCUGAACCUGUAGCAUAUGCAAGUUUCCAGGCUAGGGUUCAAAUUGGAGCUGCGCCUGCUGGCAUAUACCACAGCUACAGCAAUGCCCAGAUCUGAGCUGCAUUGGCGACCUACACCACAACUCAUGGUAACACGAGAACCUUAACCCACUGAGCAGGGUCAGAGAUCAAACCUAUGUCUUUGUGGAUACUAGUUGGGUUUGUUGCCACUGAAUCAUAACAGAAACUCCAAUAUAAUCUAAACUUUAAAUAAUAUUUUCCAUUUUAAUCUGGUGACAAAUGUCAGUACAGAGGAAAUAAAUCAAAAUAUUUUCAUCAAAUGAUAGAGUCUUCCAGCAUACGGAACUCAAACUGUGGUGAUGAGAAUGUUCUCCUCUGAUCAAUGUGAUAGCCAGUAGCCACCAGUGGCAACUGAAAGUUUGAAAUGUGGUUAGUGUGACUGAAGGACUACAUUUUAAAUUUUUAUUUAACUUGGAUUAAAUUUAAACAUUAUAGGUACAUGAAGCUGGUUUUUUAACAUAUAUAACAGUGUAGCCUUCAGUGAUCUUAUCCAGCCCAAAUGAUGGCUGCCAAGGACAAUCCUUGGAAUUUCUUGAUCACAUAUCCAAUGAUUCGCCAGGUAUUUCGACAUGGAUGUCUAAAAAGGAUCUCUGUUUAAUGUGUCCAAAUUUUUACUUUUUUUGAAAGUAAGUGGUUGCCUUCAUAGGUCCCAUCUUCCACAAAGCACACUUCUGUGUAGCUUUUAGCCCAGGAUGAUAACAUUGGAGUCAUUCUUGACUUAUCAAUAAAAAAUGCAUGGAGUCUUUAUUUUCAAAAAUCUGUGAGCUUUUUAGCAAAUGUGGAACUACACUCUAGUCCAAGCCACAUCCAUAUCCUGCCUAGACUAUAUAGUUAUUUUCAACUGGUCUCCCUCCUUCCCCUCUGACCACUACAGACUUACCAGUCUGUUUUCAGACCAGCUCUCUGCUCCACCUUCACAGGCUGAUUAUAAGUUCUGAGAAUUAACCCAAUAUGCUUCUCUGUGGAGCCUUGUCCAUUUGUCUGGAUUUAUCUCCACACAGAAAUUCUCAUAUAGACUUCUCACUUCACUUGGGUUUCUGCACUGUAUACUGGUAAGUGAAAGAAGCUGCUAAUCCUUUAUUUAUGUUUAUUUUUUAUUAAAGUUAGUUGAUUUACAAUGCCGUGCCAAUUUCUGCUGUAUAGAAAAGUGACUCAGUCAUACAUAUAUACAUACACACACAAUUUUUCUUAUAUUAUAGAGGCUGCUAGUCUCUAAAGAUUACAUUAUAUUAUUCUAACUACAUAACAUUCUGGAAAAGGCAAAACUAUUGUGAUGCUUAAAGAUCUGUGGUUGACAGGGGUUCAUGGGGAGGAAAAGGGACUGAAUAAGAGGAAAACCUGUUCAGGACAGUGACAUUC